UAUAAAUACAAUUGUGGUUUCCGUGUCUAAUAUUUGAUUGUCCGUCUUAUUUAAAAAAUAAUUAAUAUUUUUCCUUAUUAUUAGAUGAUAAAAAUAAAUAGUGUUUCAUAUAUGAAUUUUUAAUUUUUAUAAACUUUUUAAACGAGACGGACGCUUAAACAUUAGAUACGGAAAUACACG
RNAcentral lists this microRNA precursor (180 nucleotides) under Oryza glumipatula. RNAcentral's name for it is "MIR812 microRNA precursor family". It matches the Rfam family "MIR812 microRNA precursor family". Lineage: Eukaryota; Viridiplantae; Streptophyta; Magnoliopsida; Poales; Poaceae. The record is from Rfam by way of RNAcentral.